RNAcentral lists this long non-coding RNA (1205 nucleotides) under Homo sapiens (human). RNAcentral's name for it is "non-protein coding lnc-ARHGAP28-2:2". Lineage: Eukaryota; Metazoa; Chordata; Mammalia; Primates; Hominidae. The record is from RNAcentral.
CGCAUUGCUGCCUGCCAGCAGGGACCAGAAUGUAAUUGCCCUGGGAACAUUGGCUCAUUGGGGCCCCUAAUCAACUAAUCCCCCUGUAUUAGGGUUCUCCAGAGAAAAAGAAAAAUUAUAUACAUAUAUUUAUAUAUAUGUAUAUAUAUGUAAAGAGGUUUAUUAUGGGAAUUGUCUCACAUGCUUAUGGAGGUUGAGAAGUCCUGCAAUCUAUUAUCUGCAAGCUGGAGGCCCAGGAGAGCUGGUGGUAUAAUUCAGUCCAACCCUGAAGACCUGAGAACCAGGGGAGCCAAUGGUGAAGUCUUGGUCCAAGUUCCAAGGCCUGAGAACCAGAAAUGCCAAUGUCCAAAAGCAAGAGUGGAUGAAUGUCCCAGCUCAAAUACAGAACACCAGUGUUCCCUUCCUCUGCCUUUUUGUUUUAUUGGGCACUCAGUGGACCGGAUGAUGCCCAUCCACACUGGAGCUGGCUGCCUACAGAAAGCCUGUGUUCUGCUCUGCUUCCCUAUGUGAAAAUUACCAGAGACAGCAUAACAAAGCAUGUGAUUUUCUGUGCUGCCUGUGACUCUGGUGGGUAAGUCUGCCUCAUUCUGGAAUUCAGUAUUAUAAAGCCCAUUUGUCUGCAGCUCUAAGACACAUUUGCCAAUAUCAGAUUUACCAGUAAUAAAGACAGUGUUUUAAUCUGUCUGCCUGACUCCUUUGCCUUAUCUCCUGAUUGGCUCAAAACUCUGGCCAGCAAGAAGAUCAACAGUUCAUCAGGCCACCUCAAAACCCAGUAUAUUAGAGCAUGAAUUCAGACACCUAUGGUCUGCAAGAAUACUUUCAACUUUAAAAAGAAGUCCAUGAUUUACAUUCCUGCCUGUCACUCAGAAGCCAAAAAAGAGACAGAAUGCCAUCGACUCAGAGAUAUUAAAAGUGGAAGAAGAAUAAGAUCAUCUGUUCACAGCUUUGUGAAGAGGAAACUAAAUCCCAGAGAAAGAAACCUAACAAGUGGCAGAACCAGAACUAUGACUCAGAUCUCUUGAUUCCCAUGCAGUCCAAGAAGGACUUUAUCUAUGAGAAGAAGGUAUUCAGUUUCAUUCAUUCCUGAAAAAGAAACAAAACAAAACAUUAAGCUGUCUUCCAGAGUAUUUGUCUCCAAGCUAUCCCCACUGUUUUCUUCACAUGCAUCUGUUGACCCAUUAUAUAGCCCAAAAAAAAUAUAAAAA